Gymnothorax javanicus (giant moray) is the source of this 76-nucleotide non-coding RNA. The record is from the annotation of a GenBank genome assembly. Lineage: Eukaryota; Metazoa; Chordata; Actinopteri; Anguilliformes; Muraenidae.
GCCCUGGUGGCUCAUCGGUCUGAGCGCGCGCACCAUAAAGGCCUGCGGCGACUUGGUUCGAUUCCGGCUCGGGUCA